RNAcentral lists this unclassified non-coding RNA (331 nucleotides) under fungal sp. Its description in RNAcentral is "partial internal transcribed spacer region". The stretch from base 1 to 46 matches the Rfam family "Eukaryotic small subunit ribosomal RNA", at positions 1786 to 1831 of the family's 1831-position model. The record is from RNAcentral. Lineage: Eukaryota; Fungi.
AAGUCGUAACAAGGUUUCCGUAGGUGAACCUGCGGAAGGAUCAUUAACACCAAAUCUUUUGUAUCCAAAAUCUUUUGGAUCACAAACCAACCCGUACGAACCGUUCUCUCUAGUGUUGUCCCUUUCUUUUCUUGGCUUUCUUUUGAGAGUCAAGGGAAGUGGUUGGAUGCUAACCCCAUCCAGCCUAAUUUUUUUCCAACAAACGAUUCUGACUCUAACUGACUGAAAUCGUGGGCUUUGAGGGUGUGUGGUGUGUAUGCAUCACAUCCCCCCAAACCUACAAAAAUCACUAAACGUGAAACAACUCUUAACAACGGAUAUCUUGGCUCUC